This 453-nucleotide ribosomal RNA is filed under the name Penaeus duorarum (pink shrimp). RNAcentral describes it as "partial 16S ribosomal RNA". It matches the Rfam family "Bacterial large subunit ribosomal RNA", at positions 1916 to 2569 of the family's 2925-position model. The record is from RNAcentral. Lineage: Eukaryota; Metazoa; Arthropoda; Malacostraca; Decapoda; Penaeidae.
AUUUAUUUUAAAGGGCCGCGGUAUACUGACCGUGCGAAGGUAGCAUAAUCAUUAGUCUUUUAAUUGAAGGCUUGUAUGAAUGGUUGGACAAAAAGCAAACUGUCUCAGUUGUAAUAAUUGAAUUUAACUUUUGAGUGAAAAGGCUUAAAUAAGUUAGGGGGACGAUAAGACCCUAUAAAGCUUGACAAUAAGCCGUUUAUAUUAUAAAUUGUUAGUAUAACUUGAUUUUAAAUGGUGUUUGUUGCGUUGGGGCGACGAGAAUAUAAAAGAUAACUGUUCUUAUAAUAUUUAAUAACAGAAAUAGCUGGAAAAUUAAUGAUCCUUUCUUUAAGAUCAUAAGAUUAAGUUACUUUAGGGAUAACAGCGUAAUCUUCCUUGAGAGUUCAUAUCGACAGGAAGGGUUGCGACCUCGAUGUUGAAUUAAGGUAUCCUUAUAAUGCAGCAGUUAUAAAG